This 967-nucleotide long non-coding RNA is filed under the name Homo sapiens (human). RNAcentral describes it as "HSALNT0400966". Lineage: Eukaryota; Metazoa; Chordata; Mammalia; Primates; Hominidae. The record is from RNAcentral.
GAGCGUCUUGUGGCUGCGGCCUGCCCCUCAGCCUCCUCCGCGCGGUUACCCCUGUACCCGCCGCCAUCCGUCCUGGCGCUCCGGAUGAGUCAAUGAGGGGCAGGGCCCGAGGAGUGGUCUUCCCAAGAACCCCUGGUGGCCUCCCAAGGCCGGUGCUGUGUACCUCCUCCCCGACAAAAGGGGAAACUGAGGCCCCGAGGGGAGUGGGAAGAGCCGGCUGGACGUCAGGCCCAGCCGCUGGCCUCGUGGGCUGUGCGGCUAUCCUGGAGACAGAUGACAGCUCUCCCUUGGAUGGCUUUGCUGGUUCCGCACCAGCCAGCGCCCCCAUUUUUCCUGCAGCACCCUGAUCUGCACUCCCUGAGGGGCUCCCACUGUCCGCGGUGUGAGGAUGUCCCUGGAUAGUCCACUGUGUGCAGAGGCAUGGGAGUUGUCAUGUUGGGAACAUGCUAGACCUCAGUAUCCUUGAGGGAUGCUGCCUUGGGUCUGGAAACUGUUAGAGGAAACCCCAAGAGGUGCAGGCACUGAGCCUCUCAGGACAAUGACCUGGGGUCCCAGCUCCCCUGGAGGGGCCUCCUCAUGAUUGUUUGGGGGUUGAUCACAGACCAAGAGUGACGAGUGAUGUCACCCUGUGACUCAUGGCUGGACCUUCUUGCCCCUAUUGUCUCAGCACAACAUUAUUCGACUUUUCCCUCAGCGUGGGUGGGCAGAGGAAAAGCCCUGUGGCUCUGGGGACUUGGGAUCCAGAGUUGAAGACCCUUCAGCUGGCUCUGCCCUGCCAGUGCCACAGAGUGCCAUGGCCCAGGAAGACAGGUUUUCUUCCAUCUAGGCCAGGCCAUCCAGUGGCCAUCCUCCGUGUCCUCCCGCCUCCUCCUGGUGUGACUUCUGAAAACCAAGAAUUUGUUCCUGUUGACUUUUUCUGUGCUAUGGACCAUUGUCCUCUCACCCACUCAAUAAAUCUUGAAACAUG